Molecule: ribosomal RNA, 641 nt
Filed under: uncultured Bacteroidota bacterium
Lineage: Bacteria; Pseudomonadati; Bacteroidota
Description: bacterial SSU rRNA
Rfam family: Bacterial small subunit ribosomal RNA
Source: RNAcentral
GGGGUAUUGGUUUUCGGACCAGAGACCGGCGCACGGGUGCGUAACGCGUAUGCAAUCUACCUUUCACAGAGGGAUAGCCCAGAGAAAUUUGGAUUAAUACCUCAUAGUAUGCAGAGUUGGCAUCAACUCUGCAUUAAAGUCACAACGGUGAAAGAUGAGCAUGCGUCCCAUUAGCUAGUUGGUAAGGUAACGGCUUACCAAGGCAACGAUGGGUAGGGGUCCUGAGAGGGAGAUCCCCCACACUGGUACUGAGACACGGACCAGACUCCUACGGGAGGCAGCAGUGAGGAAUAUUGGACAAUGGGCGCAAGCCUGAUCCAGCCAUGCCGCGUGCAGGAUGACGGUCCUAUGGAUUGUAAACUGCUUUUGUACGAGAAGAAACACUCCUUCGUGAAGGAGCUUGACGGUAUCGUAAGAAUAAGGAUCGGCUAACUCCGUGCCAGCAGCCGCGGUAAUACGGAGGAUCCAAGCGUUAUCCGGAAUCAUUGGGUUUAAAGGGUCCGUAGGUGGUUUAGUAAGUCAGUGGUGAAAGCCCAUCGCUCAACGGUGGAACGGCCAUUGAUACUGCUAGACUUGAAUUAUUAGGAAGUAACUAGAAUAUGUAGCGUAGCGGUGAAAUGCUUAGAGAUUACAUGGAAUAC